This 460-nucleotide ribosomal RNA is filed under the name uncultured bacterium. RNAcentral describes it as "partial 16S ribosomal RNA". It matches the Rfam family "Bacterial small subunit ribosomal RNA", at positions 338 to 795 of the family's 1533-position model. The record is from RNAcentral.
CCUACGGGGGGCAGCAGUGAGGAAUAUUGGUCAAUGGACGAGAGUCUGAACCAGCCAAGUAGCGUGAAGGAUGACUGCCCUAUGGGUUGUAAACUUCUUUUAUAAAGGAAUAAAACGAGGCACGUGUGCCUUGUUGCAUGUACUUUAUGAAUAAGGAUCGGCUAACUCCGUGCCAGCAGCCGCGGUAAUACGGAGGAACCGAGGGUUAACCGGGUUUAUUGGGUUUAAAGGGAGCGUAGAGGGGUUGGUCAGUCAGGUGUGAAAGUUUGCGGCUCAACCGUAAAAUUGCAAUUGAUACUGGCAGUCUUGAGUACAGUUGAGGUAGGCGGAAUUCGUGGUGUAGCGGUGAAAUGCUUAGAUAUCACGAAGAACCCCGAUUGCGAAGGCAGCUUACUAACCUGCGACUGACAUUGAUGCUCGAAAGUGUGGGUAUCAAACAGGAUUAGAUACCCCAGUAGUC